UACGUAGGGGGCGAGCGUUGUCCGGCAUCAUUGGGCGUAAAGCGCGUGUAGGCGGCCCGGUAAGUCCGCUGUGAAAGUCCAGGGCUCAACCCUGGGAUGCCGGUGGAUACUGUCGGGCUCGAGUCCGGAAGAGGCGAGUGGAAUUCCUGGUGUAGCGGUGAAAUGCGCAGAUAUCAGGAAGAACAUCUAUGGCGAAGGCAGCUCUCUGGGACGGUACUGACGCUGAGACGCGAAAGCGUGGGGAGCGAACAGG
This 253-nucleotide ribosomal RNA is filed under the name uncultured bacterium. RNAcentral's name for it is "partial 16S ribosomal RNA". It matches the Rfam family "Bacterial small subunit ribosomal RNA", at positions 524 to 776 of the family's 1533-position model. The record is from RNAcentral.